AUUCUACCCAUGCGGGGAAGGAUGAGAAGCUUCGACCAAGGUUCGAUUCGAGCGCAGCGAGAAAGCGUUGCCGCAGGCAACGACCCGAAGGGCGAAGCGCGCAGCGCUGAGUAAUCCUUCCCCCACCACCA
RNAcentral lists this small RNA (131 nucleotides) under Salmonella enterica subsp. enterica serovar Muenchen. RNAcentral's name for it is "RtT sRNA". It matches the Rfam family "RtT RNA". From Rfam's summary of the family: This family represents a bacterial cis-regulatory element known as RtT RNA. The exact function of RtT is unknown although it is thought that it may be involved in changing the cellular response in relation to amino acid starvation. Lineage: Bacteria; Pseudomonadati; Pseudomonadota; Gammaproteobacteria; Enterobacterales; Enterobacteriaceae. RNAcentral also lists the same sequence under 11 other names. The record is from RNAcentral.